Molecule: ribosomal RNA, 404 nt
Filed under: uncultured Sulfurimonas sp.
Lineage: Bacteria; Pseudomonadati; Campylobacterota; Epsilonproteobacteria; Campylobacterales; Sulfurimonadaceae
Description: bacterial SSU rRNA
Rfam family: Bacterial small subunit ribosomal RNA
Source: RNAcentral
UGAGGAAUAUUGCACAAUGGAGGAAACUCUGAUGCAGCAACGCCGCGUGGAGGAUGACGCAUCUCGGUGUGUAAACUCCUUUUAUGAGUCAAGAAAAUGACGGUAGCUCAUGAAUAAGCACCGGCUAACUCCGUGCCAGCAGCCGCGGUAAUACGGGGGGUGCAAGCGUUACUCGGAAUCACUGGGCGUAAAGGACGCGUAGGCGGGUUAGAAAGUCAGGUGUGAAAGCCUAUGGCUCAACCAUAGAAUUGCACUUGAAACUUCUAACCUAGAGUAUGGGAGGGGCAGAUGGAAUUAGUGGUGUAGGGGUAAAAUCCGUAGAUAUCACUAGGAAUACCUAAAGCGAAGGCGAUCUGCUGGAACAUUACUGACGCUAAGGCGUGAAAGCGUGGGGAGCAAACAGG